UCUGGACUGCAAGCACUGCACGUGCUGCUGGUGGAUGGGGCUGCUAUCCCAGCGCUCCUUCAGAUCAACUGAAUGUGCAGCUGCCCUGGCUGGUUAACAGGAGCUCCAAUUCAGUCAGACUAAUGUCGAUCUGGGAGUGCCGGUGGGUAGGAGGUUAACCCUGAGCACCUGUAGCGAGGGAGGGGAUGAGUGCAGGGCUGGAUCUGCUGCUCGGUCUGCCUUGGACUUCCCGAGCGAGGAAGCUGAGGAGCUUUGCCCUGCUCGCUCUGCUGAGGCUGAAAGGGUUAAGUGCUGAUGCUGUGCAACGUGCAGCACGGUCUCGGGUCUCGGUCUUGGAGCUGCCCAGUUUUCACGGUGUUGGAAGAAAAUGUUCCCUGAAUGACAGGCCUUGGGGGGUUAUGUGGUGGCUCUCCCUGCUGUCGGCUUCACUACAAAGACCUGAAUGACUCGCUGUGUCCUCAUGGGCACUUGCAUGCAUGUGAUGAAGGGCUCCUCUGGAUUCCUCUGAGCGGACUUCUGACUAGCACCUGCCUGAGCCCCGCCAGCCGCAGACACGAAGGGCAGAGGACUGGAGGGGUGGAGCAGGGAGGGAAGGAACCUGCCGUAACCCUGCCCGGCUCCAAAGAGCUCUGCUGCUGCAAGUGCCCUUCCCUCUGGCAUCCCCCUCUGCCGCCAUGGCUCAGUGCUUCUGCUGCCGCCGCCUGCGCCCAUGUUUCCUCUCGGAGGAGGAGAAAGCUGCAAUUCUGAUCGACAGAAGAAUCAACAAAACACUGAGGGAAGAGAAGAGACGAGACCAGCAAGAGCUGAAAUUGCUGCUUCUCGGGCCCAAGCAGGAUGCAGAAGCAGCAAAGCAAUUUAUCCUGGACAUGUAUGUGGAUACCUACAUGCAGUGCUCAGCUCCCGUCAGCAGCACCAGGUUGGGACUCCUGCAAACCGUCCCCACAUCCGGAUGCCUUUGCUGCCGUUACUGCGCUACUGACACACACAACAUCCACAAAGUCUUCAGGGAUGUCAGAGAGGUGAUACUGGUUGCCUGCUGGGAAGAUGUCAGUCUUCCGUGACAGACAUAGCCUGACCUGUCAAACUUCGAGCUGGCUGUCGGAUGGUCAGCUGCGGCUGGUGUCCAGCGUAGUGCUCCGCGCGCCCCUUCUGCUGUGUGUGGAUGGGAGCUGUGGGGGCCUUCCGUGGGUGGUGCGUGAGGGGAACCUCUCUGCGGCUAUCAGCAGAGUGUUUUCCGGAUGGUGCCUUCCAGGGAGCCCCUCCUGACGCUGCCUCUGCUCGCAUCCCCUCUCUGCAGGUAGGCUAAUCCUGCCUGCUUUUCUGCCAGGUAGGCAAGCAAUCCAGGCCUUGGCAAUAAAGGGAGGUUGGUGCCAAAAUAGCUCAUGCACCUUUCUCGAGCAGUGA
Dromaius novaehollandiae (emu) is the source of this 1404-nucleotide long non-coding RNA. RefSeq lists it as uncharacterized. The record is from RefSeq and is a predicted model, not a curated record. NCBI's taxonomy places the organism in Eukaryota, Metazoa, Chordata, Aves, Casuariiformes, Dromaiidae. The transcript has 3 exons.